GGAUAAUACCCCAUAGCCCACCUAUGCUGGAAUGCUUGGUGGACGAAAGCUCCGGCGCUUCAGGAUGGCACUGCGACCUAUCAGGUUGUAGGGAGGGUAACGGCCUCCCUAGCCUACGACGGGUACGGGCGUUGAGAGACGUCGCCCGGAGAUGAACUCUGAGACACGAGUUCAGGCCCUACGGGGCGCAGCAGGCGCGAAAACUGCACAAUGCUGGAAACAGCGAUGCGGGGACUCCAAGUGCCGGCACUAAGUGUCGGCUGUUCCAUUGUCUAAAAAGCAUAGGAAGUAAGUGCUGGGUAAGACGGGUGCCAGCCGCCGCGGUAAUACCAGCACCCCGAGUGGUCGGGACGAUUAUUGGGCCUAAAGCAUCCGUAGC
RNAcentral lists this ribosomal RNA (379 nucleotides) under Staphylococcus aureus. RNAcentral describes it as "bacterial SSU rRNA". It matches the Rfam family "Archaeal small subunit ribosomal RNA", at positions 144 to 525 of the family's 1478-position model. Lineage: Bacteria; Bacillati; Bacillota; Bacilli; Caryophanales; Staphylococcaceae. The record is from RNAcentral.